AAUAGAUACCCGGGUAGUCCACGCCGUAAACGAUGAGUGCUAAGUGUUAGGGGGUUUCCGCCCCUUAGUGCUGCAGCUAACGCAUUAAGCACUCCGCCUGGGGAGUACGGUCGCAAGACUGAAACUCAAAGGAAUUGACGGGGGCCCGCACAAGCGGUGGAGCAUGUGGUUUAAUUCGAAGCAACGCGAAGAACCUUACCAGGUCUUGACAUCCCACUGACCGCUAUGGAGACAUAGUUUUCCCUUCGGGGACAGUGGUGACAGGUGGUGCAUGGUUGUCGUCAGCUCGUGUCGUGAGAUGUUGGGUUAAGUCCCGCAACGAGCGCAACCCUUGAUCUUAGUUGCCAUCAUUUAGUUGGGCACUCUAAGGUGACUGCCGGUGACAAACCGGAGGAAGGUGGGGAUGACGUCAAAUCAUCAUGCCCCUUAUGACCUGGGCUACACACGUGCUACAAUGGACGGUACAAACGGUUGCCAACCCGCGAGGGGGAGCUAAUCCGAUAAAAUCGUUCUCAGUUCGGAUUGUAGGCUGCAACUCGCCUAC
This 544-nucleotide ribosomal RNA is filed under the name uncultured bacterium. RNAcentral describes it as "bacterial SSU rRNA". It matches the Rfam family "Bacterial small subunit ribosomal RNA", at positions 777 to 1319 of the family's 1533-position model. The record is from RNAcentral.